AGGGGGACACAGGUAUCGGACAACCAGGACCUAGAGGAGAACGAGGAGAUCCAGGAACUCGGGGUGAAGAUGGGCGCCCAGGUCUGGAGGGAGAUCGAGGGCCUGCUGGCCCUCCCGGAAACAGAGGGGAGAGAGGUGACAAAGUAAGUAAGAAUUGGG
Notechis scutatus (mainland tiger snake) is the source of this 159-nucleotide non-coding RNA. The record is from RefSeq and is a predicted model, not a curated record. Lineage: Eukaryota; Metazoa; Chordata; Lepidosauria; Squamata; Elapidae.